AUGAGAACAGAACCAGUACACCGGGCAAGGGCAUAUUUUUCAGUUGGUCCCAACUGUGAGUCAGUGGAUAGCAACUUGUGUGAAUCUUUCAAUCAUGCAAUUGUUGAUGCAAGGUUUUAUCCAUUAAUUUCCAUGCUAGAGAAAAUAAGGAAGAAAAUAUUUGCUAGAAUUCAAGAAUAGAGGACCAAAGGUGUGAAGUUUCAUGAAAAAAUAUGCCCUAGAAUAUUUAAAAAGUUGAAAGCCAGCAUAGCAAGAACACGGUUCAUGGAGGUCCUUUGGAAUGGCAAAGAUAGGUUUGAAGUGAGACUAGUAACUGGGAGAAGAAGGCAAUACACUGCAAGUCUUGAAAAAAGAACUUGUUCAUGUGGUUAUCUCCAACUUUCAGGUCUUCCUUGCUCUCAUGCCAUAACAACAGUAUACUAG
This 423-nucleotide ribosomal RNA is filed under the name Triticum aestivum (bread wheat). Its description in RNAcentral is "partial small subunit ribosomal RNA". The record is from RNAcentral. Lineage: Eukaryota; Viridiplantae; Streptophyta; Magnoliopsida; Poales; Poaceae.